UGCAGCUCAUCUCCUAGACAACAACAGAGUGAUGCAACAAACAGAAGGGACCUGCCAACUCAUAGCUGAACCACCAGGGCAGGACCGUUGGUGCCAGCCCAGGAUGUGAUGGUGGUUGAGGGGUGGCUGACGUCCAUCAGGGCUCCAGCCCAGAACAUCCACUCUACAUAGUUACCACCAUGUGCCCCGAAGGACCAGAGGAAUCCACCUCCCAGUCCUGGCAGGGUGACCAGGAGCAGGAAACCUUGCAGGCAGCUGGAAGAGCAUGACCCGCAAUCCAGAGAGAAAGAGGCAGAGACACAGGCAGAGGGAGAAGCAGGCUCCAUGCGGGGAGCCCGACGUGGGACUCGAUACUGGGACUCCAGGAUCAUGCCCUGGGCCAAAGGACUUAACGGCUGUUGCUUUCAGAACAGACUGAAGAGAGCCAGAGUGCAGGCGGGAAACUGUUACAAUAACCCAGGCCUAGGGAUGUGCUCGGAUGCAGCUGAACCGUGCAGAUAAGGACAAUGCUGGGAAAGGAAGCUGGUUCCCUGAGCGAGGGUGUGGAGCAAAGCCUGACAUAUUCCAGUUACCACUCACCUCAGGACAGCUUCACGAAUAAGAAAUAAACUUCUGUCUUCUUUAAUCCA
This 629-nucleotide long non-coding RNA is filed under the name Vulpes vulpes (red fox). RNAcentral's name for it is "lncRNA (ENSVVUG00000013346.1)". Lineage: Eukaryota; Metazoa; Chordata; Mammalia; Carnivora; Canidae. The record is from RNAcentral.